Molecule: ribosomal RNA, 474 nt
Filed under: uncultured bacterium
Lineage: Bacteria
Description: partial 16S ribosomal RNA
Rfam family: Bacterial small subunit ribosomal RNA
Source: RNAcentral
GAUAAACGCUGGCGGCGUGCAUGAGACAUGCAAGUCGAACGAAGGGUCGGGCUUGCUCGAUCCUUAGUGGCGGACGGCUGAGUAACGCGUAGGUGACCUACCCCGAAGUGGGGAAUAACUGCCCGAAAGGGUGGCUAAUACCGCAUGUGGUCGCACGUUCAUUCGUGCGAGUAAAGCCGCAAGGCGCUUCGGGAGGGGCCUGCGGCCGAUUAGCUCGUUGGUGGGGUAAUGGCUUACCAAGGCGACGAUCGGUAGGUGGUCUGAGAGGACGAUCACCCAGACUGGGACUGAGACACGGCCCAGACUCCUACGGGAGGCAGCAGUCGGGAAUUUUGCUCAAUGGGGGAAACCCUGAAGCAGCAACGCCGCGUGAGGGAUGAAGGCCUUCGGGUUGUAAACCUCUUUUGUCAGGGACGAUGAUGACGGUACCUGGCGAAUAAGCCACGGCUAACUACGUGCCAGCCGCCGCCGUAA